CGGACAGAUCGGCGUUCACGGAGCCAGCCGUAGCCAUGGAUAGGAGAUAUAAACAAGGCUGGAAAUCAGUGUUCCUGCUCCGAAUUCAAGAUUUUUGCUUGAUGUCAUUAAACUAAACCAUGAGCAGGGUGGCAAAAAGGAAGGAGCCUCGUCUCCUUUGGCAGCGGAGCGAAAAAGUGACCGGAUUAUUCCAGCGCCACUGGUGGCGCUAAUGUUCUAUCUCUCAGUUUGCUUGACCGACCCUCAAUAUUCGACUGGGGUGGAUGCCGGCAGUUAGAUGGUUUGGUACCAAAACGAUUUGAUACAAAAAAUUUGUUGGAACUCGAUAAUCCCACGCGGUCAUCACGAUGAUUAACAGAGAACAGAGAAAACUAGAAGGAAUGAAACUCUGCGCUUUAUUUUCAGCAAAGGGUGCCAACCUUGCAGAAAUGCACAUGCUCUGUGUUGGAUCAAUGACGCCCAACAAAGGACCUAAGUACCAGAAAAUAGACGAGGAAAUAACCAGGUUGAAGACUGCUUCUAUAAAUAGAGACAUUUCCUUAAGGAAAUACAUGCAUGAAACAUUGCACUGUAUUAAAAACUGUACUUACAUUUAACUGCAAUUAGAUGAAAAAUCCUUUUAAUUUUUGAAUAUUUUUAUGUGUGCUAAAUUUUAAAUUGAAGGAAUUUUUUUCCUCCACAAAGUAUUUAAUGAGAGCAAUGACUUCUGUAAACUUGCCAAUAUCAAUUGAAUAAUUGUGUUUAUUUCUUUUGAAACAUAUUGAUAAAUCUCAUUUCUCAAGCUCAUUUUUAUCAACUCAUAAAGCCCCAAAAGUGUUCCAAGGUUGCAUUUUGCAAUUUGUUUUCUUAACAUAUUUAUUUAUUUUUUUUUUAUUUUUUUUUUUUGAGCAACCACGAUUGCUUAUUGUUCUCACUUGACAGUUUUGAAUUCCUAUUUCUCCCCGCCUUCCUCUGCAGCACCACCGUUGGCCAGCCGCCUCAGGAUGCUGCUCCUCUAGUGAAAACAGUCUCCAGGUUGCGUCACUUACUUGCCUACACUUACACAUACACCUACACACACAGACACACACAUGCCUACACGCAUGCACAUACUCCCACACACAAACAAACAUACCCCACACACACACCCUCGUGAUUGAGAAAAACAUAAUUUGAAUUCAAGAUGUCAAAUUUCAAUUUUUUUUUUUUUCCGCUCAAACCUGUGAGACUUAAGUGGUUUUUUACUGUUUGUUUCUUUUGGCACCCUUGAAACUGUGCGACUUGUUUUUUUUUUUAUCGCAUAAAUGUCUGUUAAUAAUAACCGCUAAUGACCCGGGGGAUAUUUAAACUGCUCGCGACUUAUGUUCUUCCUCUUAGAUUAUCUCUCAUCGUCAAAGGCGGUCGCUAGGCCGGAAUUCGAACUUGCUUGUUCGUGCCGCUUGCCCAUUCGUGAAUAUGAUGAACUUGUAUUAGCUUAUUUCCUAAUGGGUUUUUUCGUUGAAGUCUUUAGUCGAUAGUCAUGCAGUUUAGAUUUCAUCAUUGCUGUAUUA
This is a long non-coding RNA of Uloborus diversus, 1529 nucleotides long. RefSeq lists it as uncharacterized. The transcript has 4 exons. Lineage: Eukaryota; Metazoa; Arthropoda; Arachnida; Araneae; Uloboridae. The record is from RefSeq and is a predicted model, not a curated record.